ACAAACUUGGUCAUUUAGAGGAAGUAAAAGUCGUAACAAGGUUUCCGUAGGUGAACCUGCGGAAGGAUCAUUAACGAGUUUUAAACAAAGAUGGGUGAGGUUGUAGCUGGUUUCUUCUCAUACAGGGGAGAGACAUGUGCACGCUUUGCUUGUUUUUCUACCUCUCACACCAUUGUGCACUUUCUCAUGGGCUGGACUUGGAGCUCUUGUCGCAAGACAAGCGUGUCUCGGUCCUGUCUAUGUGCUUUUGAGUUUACAAACAUUUAGUCAGUUUUGGAAUGUAAUUGUUUGUGCAACAAAUUUGCAUACUCUGAAUACAACUUUCAGCAACGGAUCUCUUGGCUCUCGCAUCGAUGAAGAACGCAGC
Molecule: unclassified non-coding RNA, 367 nt
Filed under: uncultured fungus
Lineage: Eukaryota; Fungi
Description: partial contains small subunit ribosomal RNA, internal transcribed spacer 1, and 5.8S ribosomal RNA
Rfam family: Eukaryotic small subunit ribosomal RNA (bases 1-73)
Source: RNAcentral